AACGCACAUUGCGCCCUCUGGUAUUCCGGAGGGCAUGCCUGUCUGAGCGUCAACUCAUCCUCAAACUUAUGUUUGGUAUUGGAAGAAGAGGUUUCGACUUCUCUUCUGCAAACCAUUGGCAGUGGCUCAAGCUAUAGCAACGUAGUAAGCACAUAUUCGUUGUAAUGUAGUUGGAGACGCUUGCCAGAACCCAAAUCUUCUAAGUUUGACCUCAGAUCAGGUAGGGAUACCCCCUGAACUUAA
RNAcentral lists this unclassified non-coding RNA (243 nucleotides) under uncultured fungus. Its description in RNAcentral is "sequence contains ITS2". The stretch from base 1 to 52 matches the Rfam family "5.8S ribosomal RNA", at positions 103 to 154 of the family's 154-position model. The record is from RNAcentral. Lineage: Eukaryota; Fungi.